This 429-nucleotide ribosomal RNA is filed under the name uncultured bacterium. Its description in RNAcentral is "bacterial SSU rRNA". It matches the Rfam family "Bacterial small subunit ribosomal RNA", at positions 355 to 776 of the family's 1533-position model. The record is from RNAcentral.
UGGGGAAUAUUGGACAAUGGGCGGAAGCCUGAUCCAGCAAUGCCGCGUGUGUGAAGAAGGCCUGCGGGUUGUAAAGCACUUUCGGUGGGGAGGAGAGGCCUAUGGCUAAUAUCCAUAGGAAGAGACGUUACCCACAGAAGAAGCACCGGCUAACUCUGUGCCAGCAGCCGCGGUAAUACAGAGGGUGCAAGCGUUAAUCGGAAUUACUGGGCGUAAAGGGUGCGUAGGUGGUUUGGUAAGUUGGGUGUGAAAGUCCUGGGCUUAACCUGGGGAUUGCGCUCAAUACUGUCAAGCUAGAGUACUGUAGAGGAAGGUGGAAUUUCCAGUGUAGCGGUGAAAUGCGUAGAUAUUGGAAGGAACAUCAGUGGCGAAGGCGACUUUCUGGACAGAUACUGACACUGAGGCACGAAAGCGUGGGGAGCAAACAGG